This 745-nucleotide small RNA is filed under the name Pan troglodytes (chimpanzee). RNAcentral's name for it is "retained intron". Lineage: Eukaryota; Metazoa; Chordata; Mammalia; Primates; Hominidae. The record is from RNAcentral.
AGGCACCUGUAGUCCCAGCUACUCGGGAGGCUGAGGCAGGAGAAUGGUGUGAACUUGCAGUGAGCCGAGAUUGCACCACUGCACUCCAGCCUGGGCAACAGAGCGAGACUCCGUCUCAAAAAAAAAAAAGAUAAACUUUUUUGAAUACAAAUACCAUAUCAUUCCAUUCCACUGCAUUUAUAUCAGGGCAAGGGCACAUGGAGAGUCAACAUAGAAAUACUGUAAAGGACCAUCAGUGUGGAUGGUUUCAGUCACUAGAUUGUACCAGGUGGGGGAGGAACCACAUGUUCCUCUAAUACCCUCUGCAGCCCUGAGACCCUCUUCUCCAUUUAGGCCUCACACAAUUUAAGUUGGUAAUGGAGCCAGGAAUAGAAUUCCAUUGCAGUCUCCCAGCCCCUUGUUCAACCUAUGUCAUCACACUUGGGAAACAAUGAGCAGCUGCUUCUGUUUAAUCCCACAGGUGGUCCUGGCUCUGCCAUAUGACACCCCUGUGCCCGGCUACAUGAAUAACACUGUCAACACCAUGCGCCUCUGGUCUGCUCGGGCACCAAAUGACUUUAACCUCAGAGACUUUAAUGUUGGAGACUACAUUCAGGCUGUGCUGGACCGAAACCUGGCCGAGAACAUCUCCCGGGUCCUCUAUCCCAAUGACAAUUUUUUUGAAGGGAAGGAGCUAAGAUUGAAGCAGGAAUACUUUGUGGUGGCUGCAACCUUGCAAGAUAUCAUCCGCCGUUUCAAAGCCUCC